Molecule: ribosomal RNA, 465 nt
Filed under: uncultured bacterium
Lineage: Bacteria
Description: partial 16S ribosomal RNA
Rfam family: Bacterial small subunit ribosomal RNA
Source: RNAcentral
GAUGAACGCUGGCGGCGUGCUUAACACAUGCCGGUCGAACGGAAAGGCCCAAGCUUGCUUGGGUACUCGAGUGGCGAACGGGUGAGUAACACGUGGGUGAUCUGCCCUGCACUUCGGGAUAAGCCUGGGAAACUGGGUCUAAUACCGGAUAGGACCACAUUUUGGAUGGUGUGGUGGAAAGUUUUUCGGUGUGGGAUGAGCUCGCGGCCUAUCAGCUUGUUGGUGGGGUAAUGGCCUACCAAGGCGUCGACGGGUAGCCGGCCUGAGAGGGUGUACGGCCACAUUGGGACUGAGAUACGGCCCAGACUCCCACGGGAGGCAGCAGUGGGGAAUAUUGCACAAUGGGCGCAAGCCUGAUGCAGCGACGCCGCGUGGGGGAUGACGGCCUUCGGGUUGUAAACUCCUUUCGCUAGGGACGAAGCGCAAGUGACGGUACCUGGAGAAGAAGCACCGGCUAACUACGUG